Juglans microcarpa x Juglans regia is the source of this 1470-nucleotide long non-coding RNA. RefSeq lists it as uncharacterized. The transcript has 2 exons. Lineage: Eukaryota; Viridiplantae; Streptophyta; Magnoliopsida; Fagales; Juglandaceae. The record is from RefSeq and is a predicted model, not a curated record.
GGGCGGAGGUUUUGGUUCAUAUCAUGGGAGUAGGUGUUUGGAAGUGGUAAGGCAAUCCCUGUUUUGCACCAAAAGAGGCAAACUGAACCUAAUGGAUUCUUUCUCGAAGCAGAUUCAAUGAUCUUAAUACCUGUGCGCUGGGGGUUCACUCACAUUUACAAUUAAAUGUGUCUUUUAUGAUGUUUUAGAUUAAUGAAAGUCAGAUUGGCUGACCAAUCGCAGGAUGUCUUUGAAGUUAGUUAAAACUGUUUUGCAAGUGAGCUAGUCUGGGUGUGUCAUCAUUAUGUGGAAAGUAUUGGUUUACUCUUACAUGAGAAACACUGUCUCUCUGUAUAUGUGUAUGUUUUCACUCUCACUUUUCCUUUUGUAUCUGAACUAGUGCUAAGGCAGAGGUUUUAACCCUCAUGAUCAUCAUUAUGUAUUUGGACCUUGUCAGUCAGAUGUAAGCUUCUAAUGAUGUUACAAGAUUGGAAGAUCUGUCAAAAUAGGGUUUUGUGAAUCCCUUGCAAACUUUUUUGAGCAUAUGAGUAUCACAUUGGAUCAAAACACCAUGAGUAACCACAUUCAAGUCUUUCAUUUUCCCACGAUGGUUUUUUUUUUUUUUUAAAAAGAAUGGGAUUGUGAAUUAUUAAGAUUUCACUUGCAUUGAUGUCUAUGAGGUUAUUACACACAUUCUAAUGCAUUUCUAAAAUCCAUUAGAUCAGAUCUCAUGCAUGUGCAUACAAUUUGAUUUUGUGAAUUUCAGUUAUCGUGGUUGCUUUUUCAAAUUUCAGUUGUUUCCAAUGUAAUUUGUAAAUGAAUAAUUUACUGUUCAUGUACACUUAUAAUUCUUCGCUAUUCUGCAUUACCACUUCAUUUAGCACGUGUUUUGUCUUCUUCUACGAGAAAAUGCAAGGAUUCAUGAUGGUUAGAUUGCGUCUUCUGUUCAACAAAUUACUGUCAUACAGGAGCUCUUACAAGUUACAAGCUUUCCCUCAAUGCUCUGAUCUCUAUAUUGUCCUCCUCUACCCUCUUGCUGAGUGUAUGGAUGACAUGGGUAGGGAGCCGUCACCUUGUGUGAUCUCCAGCAGCCAUUGCCUGUUUGGCUUGUCAAGUUCCUUUCUCCUAUUGAGGUAAAUAAUUAUCACUGAAGGUAGACUAGUAGGAAGGAAAGCCGAGUAAUUUAGCACAUAUGCAGGUCCAAACUAGAGGGAUGAUACUACUCAGGUUUAAUUGUGAAAUAAGUUCUUAAGACCUAUUGAUGGAAGGCUUUGACUGUUAUAAAGCAGCAAUGUCUGAUGGUUGAAAAUAAUCUCCCUGUAUUAACGCAUCAACUGGAACAAGGAAUCCUUGACUUGUGACAUACCUAACAUUUCCUGCUGUGUUAUCUUUUACCUAAUCUUUUAAUUAAAAGUUGCAUGCAGCCCAUGUUCUAAGGCUGAAAUGGCAGCUACUUUAUUAAUAUUUAUUAUGAAAUUCUAGUUUCUUGCA